Molecule: small RNA, 28 nt
Filed under: Bombyx mori (domestic silkworm)
Lineage: Eukaryota; Metazoa; Arthropoda; Insecta; Lepidoptera; Bombycidae
Description: ovarian small RNA-12885
Source: RNAcentral
CACAAGUCAAAACUGAAACCGGCGAUGU